GGUGAGGAAGAACAAAAGUAAUAGGGAAUGAAAAACGAUUUUUGGGGGAUAGCAACAUGAGCUAGAACCUCGUGUGACUGAGAAGGUAGCACUUUUAGAGGCUUCUUCUGGUUUGGGAGGGUUUCAGAAAAAAAAGGCCAAAAGUCUCGUUGCAAUGAGUGUGCACAGUAGGCUACAAGAUUUGAUAGCUUCAAUUUCAUACGAUGAAGUUUCAAUUUGAUACGAUGAAAUGCGAUAAACUAAAAAAGAAAGUGAAAUAAAAUAAAAUAAAAUAUUUAAAUUAAUAGAAAUAAAAUAAAAUAAA
Molecule: long non-coding RNA, 304 nt
Filed under: Vigna radiata
Lineage: Eukaryota; Viridiplantae; Streptophyta; Magnoliopsida; Fabales; Fabaceae
Description: long non-coding RNA (VRAD_LNC018188)
Source: RNAcentral